UAGGGAAUCUUCGGCAAUGGGGGCAACCCUGACCGAGCAACGCCGCGUGAGUGAAGAAGGUUUUCGGAUCGUAAAGCUCUGUUGUAAGUCAAGAACGAGUGUGAGAGUGGAAAGUUCACACUGUGACGGUAGCUUACCAGAAAGGGACGGCUAACUACGUGCCAGCAGCCGCGGUAAUACGUAGGUCCCGAGCGUUGUCCGGAUUUAUUGGGCGUAAAGCGAGCGCAGGCGGUUUGAUAAGUCUGAAGUUAAAGGCUGUGGCUCAACCAUAGUUCGCUUUGGAAACUGUCAAACUUGAGUGCAGAAGGGGAGAGUGGAAUUCCAUGUGUAGCGGUGAAAUGCGUAGAUAUAUGGAGGAACACCGGUGGCGGAAGCGGCUCUCUGGUCUGUAACUGACGCUGAGGCUCGAAAGCGUGGGGAGCGAACAGGAUUAGAUACCCUGGUAGUCCACGCCGUAAACGAUGAGUGCUAGGUGUUGGAUCCUUUCCGGGAUUCAGUGCCGCAGCUAACGCAUUAAGCACUCCGCCUGGGGAGUACGACCGCAAGGUUG
This 550-nucleotide ribosomal RNA is filed under the name uncultured bacterium. RNAcentral's name for it is "bacterial SSU rRNA". It matches the Rfam family "Bacterial small subunit ribosomal RNA", at positions 355 to 896 of the family's 1533-position model. The record is from RNAcentral.